UGCCGCACAACCUUCUGGUGUAGUGUUUGUCGCACAGCGAUGGCA
RNAcentral lists this non-coding RNA (45 nucleotides) under unclassified sequences. Its description in RNAcentral is "COG2908 RNA". It matches the Rfam family "COG2908 RNA". The record is from RNAcentral.